Molecule: ribosomal RNA, 410 nt
Filed under: uncultured Comamonadaceae bacterium
Lineage: Bacteria; Pseudomonadati; Pseudomonadota; Betaproteobacteria; Burkholderiales; Comamonadaceae
Description: bacterial SSU rRNA
Rfam family: Bacterial small subunit ribosomal RNA
Source: RNAcentral
UGUCAGCAGCCGCGGUAAUACGUAGGGUGCAAGCGUUAAUCGGAAUUACUGGGCGUAAAGCGUGCGCAGGCGGUUGUGCAAGACAGAUGUGAAAUCCCCGGGCUUAACCUGGGAACUGCAUUUGUGACUGCACGGCUGGAGUACGGCAGAGGGGGAUGGAAUUCCGCGUGUAGCAGUGAAAUGCGUAGAUAUGCGGAGGAACACCGAUGGCGAAGGCAAUCCCCUGGGCCUGUACUGACGCUCAUGCACGAAAGCGUGGGGAGCAAACAGGAUUAGAUACCCUGGUAGUCCACGCCCUAAACGAUGUCAACUGGUUGUUGGGAGGGUUUCUUCUCAGUAACGAAGCUAACGCGUGAAGUUGACCGCCUGGGGAGUACGGCCGCAAGGUUGAAACUCAAAUGAAUUGGCGG